This 268-nucleotide ribosomal RNA is filed under the name Aeromonas media. Its description in RNAcentral is "partial 23S ribosomal RNA". It matches the Rfam family "Bacterial large subunit ribosomal RNA", at positions 1442 to 1712 of the family's 2925-position model. The record is from RNAcentral. Lineage: Bacteria; Pseudomonadati; Pseudomonadota; Gammaproteobacteria; Aeromonadales; Aeromonadaceae. RNAcentral also lists the same sequence under 1 other name.
CACGACUUGUAAUUGCGAUGGGGGGACGGAGAAGGCUAGGUGGGCCAGGCGACGGUUGUCCUGGUGAAAGUGCGUAGGUGGUGUUUCUAGGCAAAUCCGGAGACACAACACUGAGACACGAGACGAAGCCACUACGGUGGUGAAGCCAUUGAUGCCCUGCUUCCAGGAAAAGCCUCUAAGCUUCAGAUUACAAGUCAUCGUACCCCAAACCGACACAGGUGGUCGGGUAGAGAAUACCAAGGCGCUUGAGAGAACUCGGGUGAAGGAA